Arvicola amphibius (Eurasian water vole) is the source of this 106-nucleotide small nuclear RNA. NCBI's taxonomy places the organism in Eukaryota, Metazoa, Chordata, Mammalia, Rodentia, Cricetidae. The record is from RefSeq and is a predicted model, not a curated record.
GUGCUCGCUUUGACAGCACAUACACUAAAGUUUGAACACUACAGACAAGUUGAGCAUGGCCCCUGCACAAGGAUGACAUUAAAUUUGUGACGCAUUCCGUAUUUUU